This 324-nucleotide ribosomal RNA is filed under the name uncultured eukaryote. RNAcentral's name for it is "partial 18S ribosomal RNA". It matches the Rfam family "Eukaryotic small subunit ribosomal RNA", at positions 1470 to 1796 of the family's 1831-position model. The record is from RNAcentral.
CCCUUAGAUGUUCUGGGCCGCACGCGCGCUACACUGGUCGAUGCAAUGAGUUUCUUUCCUUGGCCGACAGGCCUGGGCAAUCUUUGAACAUCGAUCGUGAUCGGGAUAGAUUCUUGUAAUUUUUGAUCUUAAACGAGGAAUUCCUAGUAAACGCAAGUCAUCAGCUUGCAUUGAUUACGUCCCUGCCCUUUGUACACACCGCCCGUCGCACCUACCGAUUGAAUGGUCCGGUGAAAUCUCCGGACUGGCGUGAGUCGGAGCAAUCUGACAAACACCGGAAAGUUGAUUAAACCUUACCAUUUAGAGGAAGGUGAAGUCGUAACA